GGGUCAGUAGGUUGGUCGUGCCACCGGUACGUACUGGUCUCACUGAUUCCUCCUUCCUGAAGAACCUUAAUGCCAUUAAUUUGGUGUUGCGGGGAAACAGGACUGUUACUUUGAAAAAAUUAGAGUGUAUAAAGCAAGCUAACGCUUGAAUACAUUAGCAUGGAAUAAUGAAAUAGGACGAUCGAUCCUAUUUUGUUGGUUUCUAGGAUUGACGUA
This 216-nucleotide ribosomal RNA is filed under the name Glomeromycotina sp. RNAcentral's name for it is "partial small subunit ribosomal RNA". The stretch from base 40 to 216 matches the Rfam family "Eukaryotic small subunit ribosomal RNA", at positions 686 to 864 of the family's 1831-position model. Lineage: Eukaryota; Fungi; Glomeromycota. The record is from RNAcentral.